AGCGAACGCUGGCGGCAUGCUUAACACAUGCAAGUCGCACGGCGGGGGCAACUCCGUCAGUGGCGGACGGGUGAGUAACGCGUAGGAAUCUAUCCUUGGGUGGGGGACAACCGUGGGAAACUACGGCUAAUACCGCAUGAUCCCUGAGGGGCAAAGACGAAAGUCGUUUGAGGAGGAGCCUGCGUCUGAUUAGGUAGUUGGUGGGGUAAAGGCCUACCAAGCCUGCGAUCAGUAGCUGGUCUGAGAGGAUGAUCAGCCACAUUGGGACUGAGACACGGCCCAAACUCCUACGGGAGGCAGCAGUGGGGAAUAUUGGACAAUGGGCGCAAGCCUGAUCCAGCAAUGCCGCGUGGGUGAAGAAGGUCUUCGGAUUGUAAAGCACUUUUGGCAGGGACGAUGAUGACGGUACCUGCAGAAUAAGCCCCGGCUAACUUCGUG
RNAcentral lists this ribosomal RNA (438 nucleotides) under uncultured bacterium. RNAcentral describes it as "bacterial SSU rRNA". It matches the Rfam family "Bacterial small subunit ribosomal RNA", at positions 29 to 507 of the family's 1533-position model. The record is from RNAcentral.